GACGAACGCUGGCGGCGUGCUUAACACAUGCAAGUCGAACGGUGACGAGGAGCUUGCUCCUCCGAUCAGUGGCGAACGGGUGAGUAACACGUGAGCAACCUGCCCCUCACUCUGGGAUAACAGUUGGAAACAGCUGCUAAUACCGGAUACGACACAGACAGGCAUCUGUACUGUGUGGAAAGUUUUUCGGUGAGGGAUGGGCUCGCGGCCUAUCAGUUUGUUGGUGGGGUAAUGGCCUACCAAGACGACGACGGGUAGCCGGCCUGAGAGGGCGACCGGCCACACUGGGACUGAGACACGGCCCAGACUCCUACGGGAGGCAGCAGUGGGGAAUAUUGCACAAUGGGCGAAAGCCUGAUGCAGCGACGCCGCGUGAGGGAUGACGGCCUUCGGGUUGUAAACCUCUUUCAGCAGGGAAGAAGCGAAAGUGACGGUACCUGCAGAAGAAGCACCGGCUAACUACGUG
Molecule: ribosomal RNA, 466 nt
Filed under: uncultured bacterium
Lineage: Bacteria
Description: bacterial SSU rRNA
Rfam family: Bacterial small subunit ribosomal RNA
Source: RNAcentral